This 24-nucleotide ribosomal RNA is filed under the name Thanatephorus cucumeris. RNAcentral's name for it is "partial 28S ribosomal RNA". The record is from RNAcentral. Lineage: Eukaryota; Fungi; Basidiomycota; Agaricomycetes; Cantharellales; Ceratobasidiaceae.
AGCAUAUCAAUAAAAAAAGAGGAA